GACGAACGCUGGCGGCGUGCUUAACACAUGCAAGUCGAACGCGCCUGUCCUCUGGGUUUCUGGGGGGUGGGUGAGUGGCGAACGGGUGAGUAACACGUGAGUAACCUGCCCCCUUCUUCGGGAUAACGGUCUGAAAGGGCUGCUAAUACCGGGUAUUCACUGGUCUCCGCAUGGGGUCUGGUGGAAAGGUUUUUUUCUGGUGGGGGAUGGGCUCGCGGCCUAUCAGCUUGUUGGUGGGGUGAUGGCCCACCAAGGCUUUGACGGGUAGCCGGCCUGAGAGGGUGACCGGUCACAUUGGGACUGAGAUACAGCCCAGACUCCUACGGGAGGCAGCAGUGGGGAAUAUUGCACAAUGGGCGCAAGCCUGAUGCAGCGACGCCGCGUGAGGGAUGGAGGCCUUCGGGUUGUGAACCUCUUUCGCCCGUGGUCAAGCCGCGACGUGGGUCGUGGUGAGGGUAGUGGGUAAAGAAGCGCCGGCUAACUACGUG
Molecule: ribosomal RNA, 488 nt
Filed under: uncultured bacterium
Lineage: Bacteria
Description: partial 16S ribosomal RNA
Rfam family: Bacterial small subunit ribosomal RNA
Source: RNAcentral